Molecule: ribosomal RNA, 253 nt
Filed under: uncultured bacterium
Lineage: Bacteria
Description: partial 16S ribosomal RNA
Rfam family: Bacterial small subunit ribosomal RNA
Source: RNAcentral
UACGUAGGAGGCAAGCGUUAUCCGGAAUUACUGGGCGUAAAGGGCGUCUAGGUGGGACGUCAAGCGGGGUGUGAAAGCUCCUGGCUUAACUGGGAGAGUGCGCUCUGAACUGACGACCUAGAGGGCAGGCGACGGAGGUGGAAUUCCCGGUGGAGUGGUGAAAUGCGUAGAGAUCGGGAGGAACACCAGUGGCGAAGGCGGCCUCCGAGCCUGAACCUGACGCUGAAGCGCGAGAGCGUGGGGAGCAAACGGG